Xylaria sp. CBS 124048 is the source of this 98-nucleotide non-coding RNA. The record is from the annotation of a GenBank genome assembly. Lineage: Eukaryota; Fungi; Ascomycota; Sordariomycetes; Xylariales; Xylariaceae.
GGACCCAUAGCUCAGCGGUAGAGCAUCUGAUUCCAGCUAGAUUCUCCAGCUUGGAAACAGCAUCCAGAAGGUCAUCCGUUCAAAUCGGGUUGGGUUCA